AUUGAACGCUGGCGGCGUGCCUAACACAUGCAAGUCGAGCGAGCGGCGGACGGGUGAGUAAUGUAUGGGGGUUGCCCGAUAGAUUGGGGUUACGACUGGAAACGUUAGCUAAUACCGCAUACUACCGGAUAGCCCAUAUGGGAUUAGCUAGUAGGUGGGGUAAUGGCUCACCUAGGCGACGAUCCGUAGCUGGUCUGAGAGGAUGAUCGGCGACACGGGGACGGAGACAGGGCCCAGACUCCUACGGAGGCAACAGUGGGGAAUAUUGCACAAUGGGCGCAAGCCUGAUGCAGCCAGGCGGCGUGUAUGAAGAAGGCCCUAGGGUGGUAAAGUACUUUCAGUCGGGAGGCGUUACCGACAGAAGAAGCACCGGCUAACUCCGUGCCAGCAGCCGCGGUAAUAC
This 403-nucleotide ribosomal RNA is filed under the name uncultured bacterium. Its description in RNAcentral is "partial 16S ribosomal RNA". It matches the Rfam family "Bacterial small subunit ribosomal RNA", at positions 30 to 526 of the family's 1533-position model. The record is from RNAcentral.